UAAACAAGAAGUCUUCUUUAUAUUUGUGAAUAAAGCUGGAUGCAUAAGAACACAUUUAGCACAGAAUGGAAUUUGUCUGCAUUAGGGAAAUGGGUUUAUGAUGUUCCCUUCUCCUUAGCAAACAUAUUGUGCUGUCAAAAUGAAUACUGAAGCUCUCAGUGUCUGACUCCCACUCCCAAAAUCAGUAUUUUCAAAUAAUCAGUUUCACUGCACGUUAUUUUGAGUGAGUUUUGCCUAAUGUCACUUUCCUUCCAAAGUCAUUGAUAUUGUCAAAAUAAUUGUGGGACAUUUUGCAGCGGGCACCUGCAAUUAUUCUUUUCCUGUUCUAUAAAAUGUUGAGCACAUGCAGAUUUUAGAGAGGCAAAAACUCACUUUUUCAUGAAUUCCUGCCUGAGGAUAGCUGUAGCAUUUAUUGUCUGUACAUAUUGCUCUGGCAUAAAGAGAAUUAUAGAUAAUUCUUAUUAAGGGUUUACUGUAGUCCAGAUAUUUUUCCAAGUGUUUUGUAUGAAUUAACUCAUUGUGUCUUUUGUGUUAACACUAUUUUAAAAUAAUCAUAGUUAUGAAUCAAGAAGCCACCAUAGGAUAUGUGUCAGACUCAGAUAACUUUGAAAAGUACGAAACUAAUUGGUAGAAAUCUGUCACAGUGACAUAAAAAACAAACAAACAAAAAAACCAAAACAGUAACUGUGGUGUUUUUUUCUUUUUCAGUCACAAAUUCAUCCUCAAAUAACAAACGCCAUUUUGUUUAUUGUUUUUUUUAUUUUAUUUUGAGAUUCAGAUCACAGUUAAAACUCUUUCUUUAGAAGAAUGUUACUUGUUUUUUCAGUAUUUAUCAUUUCUUAUCUCUGUUUAAGGACGCCUGCAGAACUGAUUGUAUCACAAAUAAAAAGGGUGUGCAGUUAUUUGUUGUUUCCUUCUAUAGUUGAUUUCAGUUUGUUCUUCCAGUCAGCAAAAAAGAGAGACAUUUUUACGUAAAGCACUUUGUUUUAGAAGCUUUCUAGUCUAUCUGAUAAAUAUUGUAAAUCAUUAAUAAACCAUCAUGAUUUCAUUCUCUCGCAUUUAAUCUAAUAUUUACUCAUAAAUUAUAGCUGUGACACAUGAAGCCAUAUCACAGCCAGAGAUGGGAACAUAAGGCUUUGGAUUUCUCAUUUGAUUUUGUUCUUCAUUUAUUUAGCAGUGCUGCUCUUCAUGUUCUAAAUGUGCAUAUGAAAGACAAGGAAUGACUAAGUUAAAAUCCCAAUUAAAAAGGAAAUAUGGGAGUCCCAUUAUCUUUUCUAACUCCAUCAUUAGCUAUUUUAAACUCAGUUACUCUAGGCGGUGAUAAAGACUUGAUUUCAAGUCUGUCAAAUGCCAUACUGUCUUGAGAAAAGAUAUGACUAAAUUUAUACAAGAAUAUUUUUUUACUCCAGGGCCUUGAAUAAAUUUGGAAAGUAAAAACACCAGUGUUAAUUAUGUUAUUUUAAUAUUUAUAAUUUUUUUUUUUAUGGCCACACCGAUGGCAUAUGGAAGUUCCCAGGCCAGGGAUUGAAUCUAAGAUGCAGCUGCAACCUAUGCCACGUGGCAACACUGGGUCCUUUAACUUGCUGCACUGGGCUGGGGAUUGAACCUCUGCCACCUCUUUCCUCAGUAACCCAAGCUGCUGCAGUAGGAUUCUUAACCUACUGUGCCACAGUGGAAACUCCAGUAUUUAUCAUUUUAAUAUUAAUUUUUUAUUUACAAAGUAAUUCGAGUGAAGGAUUUGAUUUAUUUAGAAAUAGAAUACAACUAAUUUGUAUAAAAGUUUUAAAGCUGCUGAAAGUUACUAUUCCUUUACCACUGUAGUUGGUUAUCUGGUCAAGAUUUAGGUGCAAUUUUUAUUGUCUAGGGGAUUAGUUAGUAUUUGAUUAAUGCAGUCUCAUCACCUUGAGAUCAAGCCAAGGAUCUCUGUCUAGGAAAAACCUGGAAGAUGUCAUCACAGCCUUGCUAUUUACUUAAAUAAAUGUGUUCCUCAAGUGGAAAAUCAGAAUUGAGUAAAGUAAUAGCCACAAUGUAGGGCUGGUAUUCUCUCAUAGGUACAAAUAAGGCACAUAGAGACAAAGUUUUAUAGUUUUUAAUUUUUUUCUUAUUUAUUUUUCUUAUAGGGAAAAUUAUUAAUGUGAGUAUUUCAAAAAUGUCUAAGCAAAUAAUAGGGAAAUUAAUAAAAGAAUCAUGAUGACAUGCGGGAAAAGAAGGCUUUUAUAAUCUUCAACUCUUCAUUGAUAGCCUCAUCAACCAUGGGGUGGGUGUGUGUGUGUGUGUAUGUGUGUACACAUUUUAUAUACACAUACACACACACAUAUAUAUUCAGAUAGAAGAGAGAAAAAUGAAACAGAUAUAGAGAAAAAUGUUGAGAGAAUAACUUUUGUCAACCUCCAUAGAGAAUGGAAGAGCAGAUAGCAUCCUUAAUUCUUCAGAGCAUUCCAGUGACUGGUACUCAUCUGGGUGACCAAACUUUAUCCACCCUGGCUUCCAAGAGGUGAUUCUGUAUCUGUUCAUUUUUGAGCUUAUACUUGAUGAAAUGAGCAUAAACAGAAUAUGGAGUGAUCCAAAUAGAAUUAUUUUUUAAAUUUAAAGUAAGAAGUACUGGUGAUAUACUUCUCCGGGAACGUCGCCUCUCGGCCUUUUGGUCAAGAUCAAGUGUAGUUCUCUGGCUAUGACAACAUUCUGUAGUUUUCUGACGUGUUACUGUUGGGGGAGGCUUUGCGAGAGGUAUGUAGGAACUCUCCGUUAUUUUUACGUUUUCUUGUGUAGAUAAUGACCUAGCAUUUAGAUAUCGGUUUCUAAUGCUAUUCUCCAAUAAAGGAGUCCAAGAGUCCUUAGAUAAAUGGCUGAUUCUAGGCCUGAGGCAAGGAAUAUACAGGAUGAUCUGCAGCAUCCCCUACUGACAAAGUAGAAAAGUGUUCAAAAAGUUUCACAAUGGUAGAGAUAUGCUAAAGGGACCCAGAAGC
This 2966-nucleotide long non-coding RNA is filed under the name Sus scrofa (pig). Its description in RNAcentral is "lncRNA (ENSSSCG00000062703.1)". Lineage: Eukaryota; Metazoa; Chordata; Mammalia; Artiodactyla; Suidae. The record is from RNAcentral.